GCUGCCCUCUUUCUUCGUGCCUAAUACAUGCAAGUCGAGCGAACAGACGAGGAGCUUGCUCCUCUGACGUUAGCGGCGGACGGGUGAGUAACACGUGGAUAACCUACCUAUAAGACUGGGAUAACUUCGGGAAACCGGAGCUAAUACCGGAUAAUAUAUUGAACCGCAUGGUUCAAUAGUGAAAGACGGUUUUGCUGUCACUUAUAGAUGGAUCCGCGCCGCAUUAGCUAGUUGGUAAGGUAACGGCUUACCAAGGCGACGAUGCGUAGCCGACCUGAGAGGGUGAUCGGCCACACUGGAACUGAGACACGGUCCAGACUCCUACGGGAGGCAGCAGUAGGGAAUCUUCCGCAAUGGGCGAAAGCCUGACGGAGCAACGCCGCGUGAGUGAUGAAGGUCUUCGGAUCGUAAAACUCUGUUAUUAGGGAAGAACAAAUGUGUAAGUAACUAUGCACGUCUUGACGGUACCUAAUCAGAAAGCCACGGCUAACUACGUG
RNAcentral lists this ribosomal RNA (497 nucleotides) under uncultured bacterium. RNAcentral describes it as "partial 16S ribosomal RNA". It matches the Rfam family "Bacterial small subunit ribosomal RNA", at positions 36 to 507 of the family's 1533-position model. The record is from RNAcentral.